Molecule: ribosomal RNA, 426 nt
Filed under: uncultured bacterium
Lineage: Bacteria
Description: partial 16S ribosomal RNA
Rfam family: Bacterial small subunit ribosomal RNA
Source: RNAcentral
UGGGGAAUAUUGGACAAUGGGCGAAAGCCUGAUCCAGCAAUACCGCGUGUGUGAAGAAGGCCUUCGGGUUGUAAAGCACUUUAAGUUGGGAAGAAAAAACUUUACCUAAUACGUGAAGUCUUGACGGUACCGACAGAAUAAGCACCGGCUAACUCUGUGCCAGCAGCCGCGGUAAUACAGAGGGUGCUAGCGUUAAUCGGCUUUACUGGGCGUAAAGCGUGCGUAGGUGGUUUGAUAAGUCGGUUGUGAAAGCCCCGGGCUCAACCUGGGAAUUGCGGCCGAUACUGUCAGACUCGAAAACGGUAGAGGGAGGUGGAACUCCAGGUGUAGCGGUGAAAUGCGUAGAUAUCUGGAAGAACAUCGAUGGCGAAGGCAGCCUCCUGGGCCUGUUUUGACACUGAGGCACGAAAGCGUGGGUAGCAAACA